GAUCAUCGAAUCUUUGAACGCACCUUGCGCCCUUUGGCUAUUCCGAAGGGCAUGCCUGUUUGAGUAUCGUGAACACCUCAACUCUCACGGUUUGUCGUGAUGAGCUUGGACUUUGGAGGUUUUGCUGGCCCACGGUCUGCUCCUCUCAAAUGAAUCAGCUUACCGGUGUAUGGUGGCGCCCCAGGUGUGAUAACUAUCUGCGCUUGUGGUCGUACGCCAGAUAACCUUCAGCAAUGGAGGUUUGCUGGGGCUCAUAAAUGUCUCUCCUCGGUGAAGACAGCUUUUUAACGUUUGAUCUCAAAUCAGGUAGGACUACCCGCUGAACUUAA
Molecule: ribosomal RNA, 329 nt
Filed under: uncultured Tomentella
Lineage: Eukaryota; Fungi; Basidiomycota; Agaricomycetes; Thelephorales; Thelephoraceae
Description: eukaryotic LSU rRNA
Rfam family: 5.8S ribosomal RNA (bases 1-69)
Source: RNAcentral